This 225-nucleotide long non-coding RNA is filed under the name Elaeis guineensis (African oil palm). RNAcentral's name for it is "long non-coding RNA (EGUI_LNC040090)". The record is from RNAcentral. Lineage: Eukaryota; Viridiplantae; Streptophyta; Magnoliopsida; Arecales; Arecaceae.
UCUUGUUACGUAUGAUUUUGAUAUUUGAUUGUAAUCAUCAAAGGGUUCCCAGGGCUUUUGUAUUUCGAUAGACUAGUUUAAAUGUUAAACUUUGGUUUCAAUUGUUGAAUGCAUAUUAAAAUUUUUGAAAUUCAUAUUCUGCUACAUCACCGAAUCCAACAAUGAGUGUCAUUAUUAUCCUUCUUUUAUGAUGAAUGUCAUCUCUGCAGGCCUUUUGGUCAAACU